AAGACACCGAUUGGUGAUGUCUUUUCAAUAUCUAUCGGAGAAAAAGUACCUUUCAGUAUUAUGGUAAGAUCCUAAAACCCUUCUGUAUGUCUAGUGAUUGUUCAUUUUCUGGGGCAUCGAAAAGAAUUGUUUCUCCAACUACAUUACUACCAUCAAUGACGAGGCCUAGAUCAACGACCAACUCUGAUUCUCUCUUUUCUUCUCCGAAAUACUCUUGUGUAUUUCAAAUUCGGAGCCGAAAUCUGGUCAAAGAGAAACAUAACCCGAAAUUCAACCCGGUUGGCCAGCCAUUGAUGAAAGGUCUCUAAAGAUUGUAGUCUUCUUCGCUUCACAGUGAUGAAAUGCAUAGCCGGGGACGGAAUCACCUACUAUCUGGUUCGGCUUUCAAAUCUCUAGUUUCGGUUCUCAUGCUAGCCAUGUUCGCCACCAUGGCAUCGAUUUAUGUCACCGGCCCGUGAGUUCUCACACUGUAUCGUAUUGUGAAAUGAUUUUCAUUUCUUAGCUGUAAUAGUGUUUAUAGUGUGGUUAAUUUCGUUAAUUUAGGUUUUUGUUUUGUGAUGCUUUGAUUUUGAUUAUAAUUGGUCUAUGUUUUUCAAAAGAAAAAUUGUUUUUAUGGAAAUCUGUUAUUGGUAGGCUGUGGUUGGAUUCUGAGAAUAAGGUUUAUUUGAUUAAAGAGCUUGAUAUUGUUAUUCAAUUGUAGCUUCAACUUUUCUUCCCCACAGUUUGUUAAUGCAUUUUUUGGGACUGUUUUGUUAUUGAGACUAAAUUAUAGUGAUACAAAGAGGGUCUUGACAUUGAAUGGAACCAGAAUCAGUCCAUCAUGGUAUAUGUUCUAUAGCAUUACAUUACAAUGCCAAAUAAACUGGUGAUGUGCAUAAGCUCUUGCCUUUUUCUUUCUUUUAUUGAAACAAUCAGAGUUGAUACCAGCCGAUUUUCAUUUUUUGAAAUUAAUCAUUCAUAGUAAAAGAGGUAAAUAUCUAUACUUACCAUUUUAAUAGUUUUCAAGUGGAAUCAGCCAAUGACACUGAAAAUUACAGAGUAAUUGGGGUUCUUUUUUUGGGGCUUUUGUUAUAAUAGACAAAAUAUAAUCUAGAGGUCAUGGUGAUGGUUCUUCAAUUUUAUAGGAACAGCAGAAGUUAGCAGCCUUUGAGAUGGAGUUACUUGCAGUACAACAGGAAGAUUUUGUCUCAAAGAACUUGUCAGAAAAGAAGGAACUCCUCCUAAGAAAAAACAUUUAGCUGUUGUAGGAAUUAUAACAAAGUUUGGCCACAAGAACAAUAGAGAUGCAAUCCAUAAGACAUGGAUACCAACUGGUAGAAUACCCUUCUUUUUGUAAGUUUCUCUCUUUACUCUUUCUAUGAUUUACAUAGAGAAUGACCCAGUUGGCACUUAACAAAUUGACAUUUCUGUUAUAAGCAUAUAAGGGAUAAAAACAGGAGGCUUGUAGGCUGAACUCUUGUUAACAUGAAAACUUUUAGGGAACUUCCAUUUGUCUUCUAUUCUUUUUUCAUUGUUUUGUUUAUUUUCUCAGUUUGCAAUAGUCAUCUUUCAAUAGUUUGCAAACUCCAUCAACCAAUUUGAAAAGCCUUAGAGCUAACAAGUGCAAAUUAUGAGAAGCUAAAAUCUUGUUUCUCUAGGAUUUUUCUAAAGUUGCUCAAUUGAAUGGAAAGCAGAAAACCAUCAAGAGGCCCUGCCCUUGCCCCUGCCCUGCACCCUCUAUACUCCUGUUUACAGAAAUUUGGAGUUUGUCUUUAUUGUAAUAAGGGAGACAAUAGUCUGCAUAAUAAUGGAACAAAAAGUAAUAUUGUGAUUCACUGCUUCAAAAAGUAAUUUUGACAUAACUUAUGUGCUAAACUGCACUAAAAUGCUUAGCACAAAAAGUAUGUUAUUCUUCAUUUGAGAGCAUUACAUUGAACAUCAUAUGUUAGCAUCACUUUUGCCAUAACUAAUCUUUCUUUCUUUCUUUCUUUCCCCUUAUCCAAGACAAUGCAUAUUGAGUGAUUGAUACGUAAGUUAAUAGCCUUAGCACCCACAUGGGGUGAAGUUUGAAUCCAAAAUUUCCCAAUAGUCUUAAUACGCUUCCUCGGGUGUGUUCGAACUUAAGACAUCAAUGUUAAACCACCACCUUACCCAAAACCUUUAAGUUGCUCGGUAAUAGGCCAACAAUGGGAUAUUAAGGCGACUAAUAGGUAGGCUAAUAGCCUGAGCAAUUCUCUUAUAAUGUUUAAUGGUUCAAAUGUUGACAAUUAAAACAUUUACAAAAGCAUGAUGACUUAUCCAUCGUUUUCAUACAGAUACUCUAGAAGCAGCUCUUGCUCUACCCAUUUGAAUAAGCCUUGAGUUUAUAUUGGGUGUAUGAAAUCAGGUGAAGUUUUCUCAAAGUUGUGAGUAUAAUCAAAGGGUUUUUUUUUUUUCUUUUCUCUAAUGAUGAGAAAACGAGUUCUUUAUGAUAUUCUAUUUUCACAUAUUGUAUUAUCUUUUCAUAUUGUCUUAAUUAUGUAGGAUCCACAAGUAGUAAGAACUAGACUGGUAGAAAUUUGGUGAUGGAAAAUCAUGAGUAAUUCUGUAUUGAUUUCAUCUUGUCUCUUAUAUUAAGAUAAGUAAUUAUUACUUUCUAGUUCUGUUAACUAGUCAGGAAGUCUCUUAGUAUCUCCGAAUUCAUCUGAUAGGUGAUAGAAGUCCCAAUGAAUAACUAGGGCAUUGUCCCAUAAGAGGCUUGCUUGAUAGAGAGUUAGAGCACCAUUUCUGAAGUUUUUUGGGCAUUUAAACAAUUUAUCAUUCCAUCAUAUUCUUGACAUCUGUUACACUUGAUUUGCCCACCCUAUGCACCCAUAUUUAAACCAUCUCAAACUCUGAUUUGUGUUGAGGUAUCCUGGAGUUUGCAGAGGGACGCCUUCUCGGGAAGUCAGGCUUACAUUGGCUGAAUAUACAUUUAGAAAAUUUAUAUGCUGGUCGACUGGACAAGUUAUCAUACGAGGGUUGGGUAGCAUUUAUUGAGAAUCAUUUAGAAGAUAUAUUUGAUUCCACAGACAGACCUCUGGAAGGAAGACGUUGGUGGUUGUCUGCUGAGGAUCCUUUCCAAUGCUUGGCUGCAUGUAUUAAUCUCUCAGAAGCAUUAAGAAGCUCCUCUCCAUAGACUACUAUUUCACACAUGCCUGUCCACCAGGUAACUAUAUAGUUCUUCUGCAUUUACACAUGGAAAAUGACAGUCACAUGAUUGUUCAGACCCUUCAGAGUACCCCAUUUGUUGCGGAGCAGAAAUAAUGGAUCUACCACUUCUUUCAUAGCACUACCUUAUGUUUGCGCUAUCCUAUUGAAGUAGGCUUGAGAGGAUAACAGAUAUUUCCCUGACUUUACUUUUGUUUUCAUAUUAAAUGCUUAGAUUCAGGUCAUUUGUUUGUCCAAAACUUAAUCUGAGAUUGUAUUGUUCUAUCUUUUUCAAGGAUGGCUCGUGCAAUGGCUUACAACACUAUGCUGCCCUUGGAAGGGACAAGGUAGUGGAAUUUUCCGCUUUUGGUUGAUCGUUGUGGAGUUCUAAUUAUGUGAUAUGGAAGCAUGGUUUUUGAUUAGUUAGGCAUAGCUUUUCACUCUUUUUCUGCUUUGAGGCUAAAUUUGUCUCAACUUUGAUCUUCUCUCAUUUUGAUAGGAAAAAAAUGAACUUUGUUAAGGAAAGAUAGUACGAGGAUAAGGAACUAGAAAUUGAAACCCAAGAAAGAAACCAAACUUUGUUUGAGUUUGGUGCAGUUUAUUUAAUUUGAUUUUUUUAAGUCA
Molecule: long non-coding RNA, 3771 nt
Organism: Vitis vinifera (wine grape)
Lineage: Eukaryota; Viridiplantae; Streptophyta; Magnoliopsida; Vitales; Vitaceae
Exons: 2
Source: RefSeq, a predicted model, not a curated record